Molecule: long non-coding RNA, 1314 nt
Filed under: Triticum aestivum (bread wheat)
Lineage: Eukaryota; Viridiplantae; Streptophyta; Magnoliopsida; Poales; Poaceae
Description: long non-coding RNA (TAES_LNC008861)
Source: RNAcentral
UUUUUUUUUUGAAACUGGAUCAUACACAGAAAAUUUGAACUUGCAGUUGCUGCUAUGUGUACGGAUUCCAUGUUUUGUUCGUCCUCAUUGCCUGCGUUGUGUACUUCAUCCUCAACCUGCAGGUGUCCUUCCUGCUAGUGAUCAGCAUCGUCAUCCUGGGCUUGCGCAUUGGAGGCAUUAUUCCUGGCCGCUGCUGGCAUCAUUGCUGAUGCUUACCUUCCUGUGAUUAACUUUCAAUUCUGUCAAACAAGGAUGAAAAGACAAGACAAAAUCAAGGACACUACAUCAACACAAAUGAAAGAACAUUGUUCUUGCACUUUGUCAAACAAGGCUGAAUACUUAUUUAUUUUCUCCCAACACUCACUCUAGCUAAUGUACGUUUGGGAGAUACGUACAGGAAAGAAAACAUGUACCUCCCUCUUGGACACAUGAAUGAUUCAUCAACAUCUUCUUUGUUUCUCCAUGAAAGCUCUCUCUUUUUCUCACAUAUCUGUACCAUUUUCCUCAAAUGGUUGAUCAUCCAUGGCCUGCCUUUUGCAUAAGAUAAUCAAUUCGUCACUGAAAUAUCUAUCAGUUUUGUUGUAGGCAAACCAAAAAUAAGAACUUAACUUAACUAAACUAAAAAUAAAUAUUGAACGAAAAUUGGAAAUCGAGCUGAACUAAAACUAGGAACUGGACUGAACUUUUCUAAUAUUAGUACAUGUAGCUCUCGAUAUAAGUAGUGUACUGCCAAGCAAUACAAAUGAGAAAAAGAAAUAAACCCUGGCAUUCAUUACAUUGACAUUUAAUACAUCGCGCAUACAUGUUAAAUAAUGGAAACAUUUCAUUUUUUUACAGCAAGCAGACACCUUUUGGCAUUUUCAACUACAGUUAUAAAAUAUACCAAACCCAUUUUCCAAGCAUAGAACUGCAGAAAUAUAGCAAAGUUGAACUAUUGUAUUCUACAGAGAACUGCACAGAAUUAAUAAUCUGAAAUGCUUUUUUUCUCACCAAACUGGUCACACCUUCACUGGAGUUUGCCUGGAGGUGCAGGAGCAUGGACAUGCACGGUUUCGCAUGUUGAACUUCUAGCAAUCUCACGCCUCUGCAAGCCAUAGAGCAGCUGAGAGGAGGGACCACCGGCCACUAUGUGUUGUGACGUUGGGCUGCCAGAGCUGUGCAUGGAGAGGCUCAACGGUGAGUGCACAGGAGCGGUGGAAGAACAGUUACGGCCUCUGGCGGUGCCUAGAGCUAGCACGAGGUGCCUUGGCUUCUUCGACCGAUGCUCAGUUGGCGUAUGCCAACAGUAGAACUUCCUGGCCUUUGAAACUCGUA